CAGUCGCCGCGGUAAUACGUAGGGUGCAAGCGUUAAUCGGAAUUACUGGGCGUAAAGCGUGCGCAGGCGGUUCCGCAAGUCAGAUGUGAAAUCCCCGGGCUCAACCUGGGAACUGCAUUUGAAACUACGGGGCUAGAGUGUGUCAGAGGGGGGUGGAAUUCCACGUGUAGCAGUGAAAUGCGUAGAGAUGUGGAGGGACACCAAUGGCGAAGGCAGCCCCCUGGGAUGACACUGACGCUCAUGCACGAAAGCGUGGGGAGCAAAUGGGAUUAGAUACCCGGGUAGUCCCUGUCUCUUAUAC
Molecule: ribosomal RNA, 301 nt
Filed under: uncultured bacterium
Lineage: Bacteria
Description: partial 16S ribosomal RNA
Rfam family: Bacterial small subunit ribosomal RNA
Source: RNAcentral